GUAACAAUCCGAGAAUCCAAAAUAGCCAAAGGUUAAAUGAUGAAUUGACCAUGUCGACCAACUAGAGGAAGUGAAGGUUGUGUAACAUGAUGAGAACCCACCAUUUUUUUGAGUAAACUAACAGGAAAAACUAGAUGAAUAGAACGCGAAUCAGGCAACUAUAACUUAUAAGCAACUAAACCAAUCUUUUCAAUGACUUGAAAAGGG
RNAcentral lists this long non-coding RNA (207 nucleotides) under Ricinus communis (castor bean). Its description in RNAcentral is "long non-coding RNA (RCOM_LNC002869)". The record is from RNAcentral. Lineage: Eukaryota; Viridiplantae; Streptophyta; Magnoliopsida; Malpighiales; Euphorbiaceae.